This 253-nucleotide ribosomal RNA is filed under the name uncultured prokaryote. RNAcentral's name for it is "partial 16S ribosomal RNA". It matches the Rfam family "Bacterial small subunit ribosomal RNA", at positions 524 to 776 of the family's 1533-position model. The record is from RNAcentral.
UACAGAGGUCUCAAGCGUUGUUCGGUUUCAUUGGGCGUAAAGGGUGCGUAGGUGGCAGGGUAAGUUUGAUGUGAAAUCUCCGGGCUUAACCCGGAAACUGCAUUGAAUACUAUCCUGCUCGAGGGUUGGAGGGGGGACUGGAAUUCUCGGUGUAGCAGUGAAAUGCGUAGAUAUCGAGAGGAACACCAGUGGCGAAGGCGAGUCCCUAGACAACUCCUGACACUGAGGCACGAAAGCUAGGGGAGCAAACAGG